This 280-nucleotide long non-coding RNA is filed under the name Mytilus galloprovincialis (Mediterranean mussel). The record is from RNAcentral. Lineage: Eukaryota; Metazoa; Mollusca; Bivalvia; Mytilida; Mytilidae.
UCAAAUUUUUUUUUCCUCAAAAAUUUUUUUCUCAAAAAUAUUUUCCUCAAAUUUUUUUUUCCUCAUUUUUUUCGUUUCCUUAUUCGUUUUCUAUUUCCUUUUUCGAUUUUCAUUUCCUUAUUCGGUUUCUAUUUCCUUUUUCGAUUUUCAUUUCCUUAUUCGUUUUCUAUUUCCUUUUUCGAUUUUCAUUUCCUUAUUCGGUUUCUAUUUCCUUUUUUGAUUUUCAUUUCCUUAUUCGGUUUCUUUUUCCUUUUCGAUUUCUAUUUCCUUUUUCGAUUUC